GUUUAUAGCCAUACCACCCUGAACACACCCAAUCUCGUCUGAUCUCGGAAGCUAAGCAGUGUAGAGCCUAGUACUUGAAUGGGGGCACUGCCUGGGAAUACUUAGUGCUAUAGGCU
Molecule: ribosomal RNA, 116 nt
Organism: Chlorocebus sabaeus (green monkey)
Lineage: Eukaryota; Metazoa; Chordata; Mammalia; Primates; Cercopithecidae
Source: Ensembl